RNAcentral lists this long non-coding RNA (572 nucleotides) under Helianthus annuus (common sunflower). Its description in RNAcentral is "hypothetical non coding rna". Lineage: Eukaryota; Viridiplantae; Streptophyta; Magnoliopsida; Asterales; Asteraceae. The record is from RNAcentral.
GGAGACAGCGCCGGAGACGAUGACCGGAGACAAAGAACGACGGUGUUCAACGGUGAAGGUGGUUGAACAGUGACAAGAGGUAUCUGCGGUGGAGGUGGCAGGGUGGUUCGUCGGAAAAGAUGAUUAGAUGAAGAUGGUGGCGGAGGGUGUCGGAGGUUGGUAACUGUUGAAAACGGUGAACGAUGGUGAAAGAUGACAAUGGUGGAACGAUGUUAAUUUAUGUAUGACCACGGAUCAGAUGUGUUUAUGAUGAGUGAUGAUGAUUUGUUAUCCGAGAUGGACGAUGACGUAAUUCCGGGUGAUUUCGGAUGAAAUGAAGUAUGAAUCACGGAUGGUUUCGAAUGAGUUCUUAUGCAUUUCGGAUGAAGAGGUAAUGCAUCACGGAUGAUGUUGAUGUGAUUCCGGAUGAUUGUUGUUGACGGAGAUGAUUUCGGAUGAAAGGUGCAGUUGAUGUUGACAGCAAAUAAUGAGAUAAUGAUGUACGAUGAUGACGAAAGAUGAAUGAUGUAUGAAUGUUGUUGUCUGACAAAAUGAUGUGAUGAUGAGGAAUGAUGAUUCUGAAUUUUUUUUUA